CCUACGGGUGGCAGCAGUGAGGAAUAUUGGUCAAUGGACGAGAGUCUGAACCAGCCAAGUAGCGUGAAGGAUGACUGCCCUAUGGGUUGUAAACUUCUUUUAUCUGGGAGUAAAUUGUUCCACGUGUGGGAUUUUGUAUGUACCAUAUGAAUAAGGAUCGGCUAACUCCGUGCCAGCAGCCGCGGUAAUACGGAGGAUCCGAGCGGUAUCCGGAUUUUUUGGGUUUAAAGGGUGCGUAGGGGGGAUGUUAAGUUAGUUGUGAAAGUGUGCGGCUCAACCGUAAAAUUGCAGUUGAAACUGGCAGUCUUGAGUAGAGUAGAGGUAGGCGGAAUUCGUGGUGUAGCGGUGAAAUGCUUAGAUAUCACGAAGAACUCCGAUUGCGAAGGCAGCUCACUGGACUGCAACUGACACUGAGGCUCGAAAGUGUGGGUAUCAAACAGGAUUAGAUACCCUGGUAGUC
Molecule: ribosomal RNA, 460 nt
Filed under: uncultured bacterium
Lineage: Bacteria
Description: partial 16S ribosomal RNA
Rfam family: Bacterial small subunit ribosomal RNA
Source: RNAcentral